This 449-nucleotide ribosomal RNA is filed under the name uncultured bacterium. RNAcentral describes it as "partial 16S ribosomal RNA". It matches the Rfam family "Bacterial small subunit ribosomal RNA", at positions 29 to 523 of the family's 1533-position model. The record is from RNAcentral.
AGCGAACGCUGGCGACAGGCCUAACACAUGCAAGUCGAACGAAACCUUCGGGUUUAGUGGCGGACGGGUGAGUAACACGUGGGAACGUGCCCUUUGGUUCGGAACAACUCAGGGAAACUUGAGCUAAUACCGGAUGUGCCCUUCGGGGGAAAGAUUUAUCGCCAUUGGAGCGGCCCGCGUAGGAUUAGCUAGUUGGUGGGGUAAUGGCCCACCAAGGCUCCGAUCCUUAGCUGGUCUGAGAGGAUGAUCAGCCACACUGGGACUGAGACACGGCCCAGACUCCUACGGGAGGCAGCAGUGGGGAAUCUUGCGCAAUGGGCGAAAGCCUGACGCAGCCAUGCCGCGUGAAUGAUGAAGGUCUUAGGAUUGUAAAAUUCUUUCACCGGGGACGAUAAUGACGGUACCCGGAGAAGAAGCCCCGGCUAACUUCGUGCCAGCAGCCGCGGUAA